AGUGGGAUAGCUGGGUCAAAUGGCAGUUCCAUUAAAAGAUUUCCAAGUAAUCUCCAUACUGCUUUCUAGAUUGGCUGCACCAAUUUGCAGUCCCACCAGCAAU
This 103-nucleotide microRNA precursor is filed under the name Marmota monax (woodchuck). The record is from RNAcentral. Lineage: Eukaryota; Metazoa; Chordata; Mammalia; Rodentia; Sciuridae.